GAUAAACGCUGGCGGCGUGCAUGAGACAUGCAAGUCGAACGGACGAUUGAGGCUUGCUUCGAUCGUUAGUGGCGGACGGCUGAGUAACGCGUAGGUGACCUGCCCCGAAGUGGGGAAUAACUGCCCGAAAGGGUGGCUAAUACCGCAUGUUCUGGUGUGUUCGAUCGCACCAGCAAAGCCGCAAGGCGCUUCGGGAGGGGCCUGCGUCCGAUUAGCUCGUUGGUGGGGUAAUGGCUUACCAAGGCGACGAUCGGUAGGGGGCGUGAGAGCGUGACCCCCCACACUGGCACUGACACACGGGCCAGACUCCUACGGGAGGCAG
RNAcentral lists this ribosomal RNA (322 nucleotides) under uncultured Chloroflexota bacterium. Its description in RNAcentral is "bacterial SSU rRNA". It matches the Rfam family "Bacterial small subunit ribosomal RNA", at positions 28 to 351 of the family's 1533-position model. The record is from RNAcentral. Lineage: Bacteria; Bacillati; Chloroflexota.